This 517-nucleotide ribosomal RNA is filed under the name uncultured fungus. RNAcentral describes it as "SSU rRNA". It matches the Rfam family "Eukaryotic small subunit ribosomal RNA", at positions 214 to 731 of the family's 1831-position model. Lineage: Eukaryota; Fungi. The record is from RNAcentral.
AUAAAAAACCAAUGCCCUUCGGGGCUCCUUGGUGAUUCAUAAUAACUUAACGAAUCGCAUAGCCUUGUGCUGGCGAUGGUUCAUUCAAAUUUCUGCCCUAUCAACUUUCGAUUGUAUGGUAUUGGCUUACAAUGGUUUCAACGGGUAACGGGGAAUUAGGGUUCUAUUCCGGAGAGGGAGCCUGAGAAACGGCUACCACAUCCAAGGAAGGCAGCAGGCGCGCAAAUUACCCAAUCCCGACACGGGGAGGUAGUGACAAUAAAUACUGAUACAGGGCUCUUUUGGGUCUUGUAAUUGGAAUGAGUACAAUUUAAAUCCCUUAACGAGGAACAAUUGGAGGGCAAGUCUGGUGCCAGCAGCCGCGGUAAUUCCAGCUCCAAUAGCGUAUAUUAAAGUUGUUGCAGUUAAAAAGCUCGUAGUUGAACCUUGGGUUUGGUUGGUCGGUCCGCCUCACCGCGUGCACUGAUCCGACCGAAUCUUUCCUUCUGGGGAACCGUAUGCCCUUCACUGGGUGUGC